RNAcentral lists this ribosomal RNA (16 nucleotides) under Petroderma maculiforme. RNAcentral's name for it is "partial 5.8S ribosomal RNA". The record is from RNAcentral. Lineage: Eukaryota; Phaeophyceae.
AACUUUCAGCGACGGA